Molecule: ribosomal RNA, 375 nt
Filed under: Rhizobium sullae
Lineage: Bacteria; Pseudomonadati; Pseudomonadota; Alphaproteobacteria; Hyphomicrobiales; Rhizobiaceae
Description: bacterial SSU rRNA
Rfam family: Bacterial small subunit ribosomal RNA
Source: RNAcentral
UCCUACGGGAGGCAGCAGUUGGGCGCAAGCCUGAUCCAGCCAUGCCGCGUGAGUGAUGAAGGCCCUAGGGUUGUAAAGCUCUUUCACCGGAGAAGAUAAUGACGGUAUCCGGAGAAGAAGCCCCGGCUAACUUCGUGCCAGCAGCCGCGGUAAUACGAAGGGGGCUAGCGUUGUUCGGAUUUACUGGGCGUAAAGCGCACGUAGGCGGACAUUUAAGUCAGGGGUGAAAUCCCAGAGCUCAACUCUGGAACUGCCUUUGAUACUGGGUGUCUGGAGUAUGGAAGAGGUGAGUGGAAUUCCGAGUGUAGAGGUGAAAUUCGUAGAUAUUCGGAGGAACACCAGUGGCGAAGGCGGCUCACUGGUCCAUUACUGACG